This 253-nucleotide ribosomal RNA is filed under the name uncultured bacterium. Its description in RNAcentral is "partial 16S ribosomal RNA". It matches the Rfam family "Bacterial small subunit ribosomal RNA", at positions 524 to 776 of the family's 1533-position model. The record is from RNAcentral.
UACGUAGGGGGCAAGCGUUGUCCGGAAUCAUUGGGCGUAAAGCGCGUGUAGGCGGCUGGGCAAGUCCGCUCUGAAAGCCCGAGGCUCAACCUCGGGAGGCGAGUGGAUACUGCUCAGCUCGAGUCCGGAAGAGGAGUGUGGAAUUCCUGGUGUAGCGGUGAAAUGCGCAGAUAUCAGGAAGAACACCCGUGGCGAAGGCGGCUCUCUGGGACGGUACUGACGCUGAGACGCGAAAGCGUGGGGAGCGAACAGG